AGUCCAUGGUUUGGGCACUUCCUAAGAAUUGACUUGAAACAAUCCCAUGCUUCAUACAAGGAUUCACCUUCAUAUUGCUUGAAAUUGGAGAUUUAUCGCCUAAGCU
Molecule: non-coding RNA, 106 nt
Organism: Gossypium hirsutum (cotton)
Lineage: Eukaryota; Viridiplantae; Streptophyta; Magnoliopsida; Malvales; Malvaceae
Source: Rfam